RNAcentral lists this ribosomal RNA (492 nucleotides) under uncultured bacterium. RNAcentral describes it as "partial 16S ribosomal RNA". It matches the Rfam family "Bacterial small subunit ribosomal RNA", at positions 29 to 507 of the family's 1533-position model. The record is from RNAcentral.
AGUGAACGCUGGCGGUAGGCCUAACACAUGCAAGUCGAACGGCAGCACAGUAAGAGCUUGCUCUUACGGGUGGCGAGUGGCGGACGAGUGAGGAAUACAUCGGAAUCUACUUUUUCGUGGGGGAUAACGUAGGGAAACUUACGCUAAUACCGCAUACGACCUACGGGUGAAAGCAGGGGAUCUUCGGACCUUGCGCGAUUGAAUGAGCCGAUGUUGGAUUAGCUAGUUGGCGGGGUAAAGGCCCACCAAGGCGACGAUCCGUAGCUGGUCUGAGAGGAGGAUCAGCCACACUGGAACUGAGACACGGUCCAGACUCCUACGGGAGGCAGCAGUGGGGAAUAUUGGACAAUGGGCGCAAGCCUGAUCCAGCCAUACCGCGUGGGUGAAGAAGGCCUUCGGGUUGUAAAGCCCUUUUGUUGGGAAAGAAAAGCAGCAGGUUAAUACCCCGCUGUUCUGACGGUACCCAAAGAAUAAGCACCGGCUAACUUCGUG